AACGAACGCUGGCGGCAGGCCUGAAACAUGCAAGUCGAACGAACCUUCGGGUUAGUGGCGCACGGGUGCGUAACGCGUGGGAAUGUGCCUCUGGGUGCGGAACAACGUCGGGAAACUGACGCUAAUACCGCAUAAUAUCUACGGAUCAAAGAUUUAUCGCCCAGAGAUCAGUCCGCGUCUGAUUAGGUAGUUGGUAGGGUAAUGGCCUACCAAGCCUACGAUCAGUAGCUGGUCUGAGAGGAUGAUCAGCCACACUGGAACUGAGACACGGUCCAGACUCCUACGGGAGGCAGCAGUUAGGAAUAUUGGACAAUGGGGGAAACCCUGAUCCAGCCAUGCCGCGUGUGUGAGGAAGGCCUUAGGGUUGUAAAGCACUUUCGUCUAUGAAGAUAAUGACAGUAGUAGAAGAAGAAGCUCCGGCUAAAUUCGUGCCAGCCGCCGCUGUAA
RNAcentral lists this ribosomal RNA (447 nucleotides) under uncultured bacterium. RNAcentral's name for it is "partial 16S ribosomal RNA". It matches the Rfam family "Bacterial small subunit ribosomal RNA", at positions 29 to 523 of the family's 1533-position model. The record is from RNAcentral.